Euleptes europaea (tarantolino) is the source of this 154-nucleotide long non-coding RNA. RefSeq lists it as uncharacterized. The transcript has 3 exons. The record is from RefSeq and is a predicted model, not a curated record. NCBI's taxonomy places the organism in Eukaryota, Metazoa, Chordata, Lepidosauria, Squamata, Sphaerodactylidae.
UUAAAUACCGUGAUGAAAAUUUUGAAUAUGAUUACAACUCCUUGCGCAAGUGGGGCCUAAUAGCAGCUGCCAUCCUCUUCAUCCUGGGCAUUCUGAUUCUCACCUGUGGAAAACACGGGAAACUCCUACGAUGCCGAAGGAAAAAGCGAGCCAG